RNAcentral lists this ribosomal RNA (506 nucleotides) under uncultured soil bacterium. RNAcentral describes it as "bacterial SSU rRNA". It matches the Rfam family "Bacterial small subunit ribosomal RNA", at positions 8 to 524 of the family's 1533-position model. The record is from RNAcentral.
AGAGUUUGAUCCUGGCUCAGGAUGAACGCUGGCGGCGUGCCUAAUACAUGCAAGUCGAACGAGGUGCUUUUGUAGCAAUACGAGAGUAUCCUAGUGGCGAACGGGUGAGUAACGCGUUGGUGACCUACCCCAAAGUGUGGGAUAACAGUCCGAAAGGAUUGCUAAUACCGCAUGUGGUUAUUGGAUUUAGAAACUGAUAACUAAAGGAGCAAUUCGCUUUGGGAGGGACCUGCGUCCCAUCAGCUAGUUGGUGAGGUAAUGGCUCACCAAGGCUACGACGGGUAGGGGACCUGAGAGGGUGACCCCCCACAAUGGAACUGAAACACGGUCCAUACACCUACGGGUGGCAGCAGUAGGGAAUAUUGCACAAUGGGCGAAAGCCUGAUGCAGCAACGCCGCGUGCACGAUGAAGGCCUUCGGGUCGUAAAGUGCUUUUCUGGGAGAUGAGAAAGGACAGUAUCCCAGGAAUAAGUCUCGGCUAACUACGUGCCAGCAGCCGCGGUAAU